Molecule: transfer RNA, 59 nt
Filed under: Desulfomonile tiedjei DSM 6799
Lineage: Bacteria; Pseudomonadati; Thermodesulfobacteriota; Desulfomonilia; Desulfomonilales; Desulfomonilaceae
Description: tRNA-Leu (CAA) (tRNA-Leu-CAA-3-1)
Source: RNAcentral
AGGGGGCUAUUGCCUUCACACGGCAGGGGUCGGAGGUUCAAAUCCUCUCCCGCCUACCA